This 394-nucleotide ribosomal RNA is filed under the name uncultured bacterium. RNAcentral's name for it is "bacterial SSU rRNA". It matches the Rfam family "Bacterial small subunit ribosomal RNA", at positions 32 to 415 of the family's 1533-position model. The record is from RNAcentral.
AAUCAACGCUGGCGGCGUGCCUCAGACAUGCAAGUCGAACGAUUAAAGCUCUCUUCGGAGAGUGUAUAGAGUGGCGCACGGGUGAGUAACACGUAAGUAAUCUACCUUUGAGUGGGGAAUAACAGUCGGAAACGACUGCUAAUACCGCAUAAUGCAGCGGCAUCGCAAGAUGACAGUUGUUAAAGGAGCAAUCCGCUUAAAGAGGAGCUUGCGGCAGAUUAGCUAGUUGGUAAGGUAAUGGCUUACCAAGGCUACGAUCUGUAUCCGGGUCUAAGAGGACGGUCGGACACACUGACACUGAAUAACGGGUCAGACUCCUACGGGAGGCAGCAGUCGGGAAUUUUGGGCAAUGGGCGAAAGCCUGACCCAGCAACGCCGCGUGAAGGAUGAAGUA